AUAGCUGGUUCUCUCCGAAAUAGCUUUAGGGCUAGCCUCAAGUGAUGAUUAUUGGAGGUAGAGCACUGUUUGGACGAGGGGCCCCUCUCGGGUUACCGAAUUCAGACAAACUCCGAAUGCCAAUUAAUUUAACUUGGGAGUCAGAACAUGGGUGAUAAGGUCCGUGUUCGAAAGGGAAACAGCCCAGACCACCAGCUAAGGUCCCAAAAUAUAUGUUAAGUGGAAAAGGAUGUGGCGUUGCCCAGACAACUAGGAUGUUGGCUUAGAAGCAGCCAUCAUUUAAAGAGUGCGUAAUAGCUCACUAGUCGAGUGACACUGCGCCGAAAAUGUACCGGGGCUAAACAUAUUACCGAAGCUGUGGAUUGUCCUUUGGACAAUGGUAGGAGAGCGUUCUAAGGGCGUUGAAGCAUGAUCGUAAGGACAUGUGGAGCGCUUAGAAGUGAGAAUGCCGGUGUGAGUAGCGAAAGACGGGUGAGAAUCCCGUCCACCGAUUGACUAAGGUUUCCAGAGGAAGGCUCGUCCGCUCUGGGUUAGUCGGGUCCUAAGCUGAGGCCGACAGGCGUAGGCGAUGGAUAACAGGUUGAUAUUCCUGUACCACCUAUAAUCGUUUUAAUCGAUGGGGGGACGCAGUAGGAUAGGCGAAGCGUGCGAUUGGAUUGCACGUCUAAGCAGUAAGGCUGAGUAUUAGGCAAAUCCGGUACUCGUUAAGGCUGAGCUGUGAUGGGGAGAAGACAUUGAGUCUUCGAGUCGUUGAUUUCACACUGCCGAGAAAAGCCUCUAGAUAGAAAAUAGGUGCCCGUACCGCAAACCGACACAGGUAGUCAAGAUGAGAAUUCUAAGGUGAGCGAGCGAACUCUCGUUAAGGAACUCGGCAAAAUGACCCCGUAACUCGGGAGAAGGGGUGCUCUUUAGGGUUAACGCCCAGAAGAGCCGCAGUGAAUAGGCCCAAGCGACUGUUUAUCAAAAACACAGGUCUCUGCUAAACCGUAAGGUGAUGUAUAGGGGCUGACGCCUGCCCGGUGCUGGAAGGUUAAGAGGAGUGGUUAGCUUCUGCGAAGCUACGAAUCGAAGCCCCAGUAAACGGCGGCCGUAACUAUAACGGUCCUAAGGUAGCGAAAUUCCUUGUCGGGUAAGUUCCGACCCGCACGAAAGGCGUAACGAUUUGGGCACUGUCUCAACGAGAGACUCGGUGAAAUCAUAGUACCUGUGAAGAUGCAGGUUACCCGCGACAGGACGGAAAGACCCCGUGGAGCUUUACUGUAGCCUGAUAUUGAAAUUCGGCACAGCUUGUACAGGAUAGGUAGGAGCCUUUGAAACGUGAGCGCUAGCUUACGUGGAGGCGCUGGUGGGAUACUACCCUAGCUGUGUUGGCUUUCUAACCCGCACCACUUAUCGUGGUGGGAGACAGUGUCAGGCGGGCAGUUUGACUGGGGCGGUCGCCUCCUAAAAGGUAACGGAGGCGCUCAAAGGUUCCCUCAGAAUGGUUGGAAAUCAUUCAUAGAGUGUAAAGGCAUAAGGGAGCUUGACUGCGAGACCUACAAGUCGAGCAGGGUCGAAAGACGGACUUAGUGAUCCGGUGGUUCCGCAUGGAAGGGCCAUCGCUCAACGGAUAAAAGCUACCCCGGGGAUAACAGGCUUAUCUCCCCCAAGAGUUCACAUCGACGGGGAGGUUUGGCACCUCGAUGUCGGCUCAUCGCAUCCUGGGGCUGUAGUCGGUCCCAAGGGUUGGGCUGUUCGCCCAUUAAAGCGGUACGCGAGCUGGGUUCAGAACGUCGUGAGACAGUUCGGUCCCUAUCCGUCGUGGGCGUAGGAAAUUUGAGAGGAGCUGUCCUUAGUACGAGAGGACCGGGAUGGACAUACCUCUGGUGUACCAGUUGUCGUGCCAACGGCAUAGCUGGGUAGCUAUGUGUGGACGGGAUAAGUGCUGAAAGCAUCUAAGCAUGAAGCCCCCCUCAAGAUGAGAUUUCCCAACUUCGGUUAUAAGAUCCCUCAAAGAUGAUGAGGUUAAUAGAUUCGAGGUGGAAGCAUGGUGACAUGUGGAGCUGACGAAUACUAAUCGAUCGAAGACUUAAUCAAAA
RNAcentral lists this ribosomal RNA (2078 nucleotides) under Staphylococcus aureus. Its description in RNAcentral is "partial 23S ribosomal RNA". It matches the Rfam family "Bacterial large subunit ribosomal RNA", at positions 845 to 2925 of the family's 2925-position model. The record is from RNAcentral. Lineage: Bacteria; Bacillati; Bacillota; Bacilli; Caryophanales; Staphylococcaceae.